GGUCAAAUCAUCAUGCCCCUUAUAUCCCGGGCUUCACACGUACUACAAUGGCGAUUAACAAUGGGUCGCGAAACCGCGAGGUAGAGCCAAUCCUCAAAAAUCGCCUCAGUUCAGAUUGCGGGCUGAAACUCGCCUGCAUGAAGUUGGAAUUGCUAGUAAUCGCGAAUCAGCAUGUCGCGGUGAAUACGUUCCCGGGCAUU
RNAcentral lists this ribosomal RNA (200 nucleotides) under uncultured prokaryote. Its description in RNAcentral is "partial 16S ribosomal RNA". It matches the Rfam family "Bacterial small subunit ribosomal RNA", at positions 1183 to 1382 of the family's 1533-position model. The record is from RNAcentral.